UGGGGAAUAUUGGACAAUGGGCGAAAGCCUGAUCCGGCCAUGCCGCGUGUGUGAAGAAGGUCUUCGGAUUGUAAAGCACUUUAAGUUGGGAGGAAGGGCAGUAAAUUAAUACUUUGCUGUUUUGACGUUACCGACAGAAUAAGCACCGGCUAACUCUGUGCCAGCAGCCGCGGUAAUACAGAGGGUGCAAGCGUUAAUCGGAAUUACUGGGCGUAAAGCGCGCGUAGGUGGUUCGUUAAGUUGGAUGUGAAAUCCCCGGGCUCAACCUGGGAACUGCAUUCAAAACUGACGAGCUAGAGUAUGGUAGAGGGUGGUGGAAUUUCCUGUGUAGCGGUGAAAUGCGUAGAUAUAGGAAGGAACACCAGUGGCGAAGGCGACCACCUGGACUGAUACUGACACUGAGGUGCGAAAGCGUGGGGAGCAAACAGGAUUAGAUACCCCCGUAGUCCCUGAGCGGGCUGGCAAGGCGCAU
RNAcentral lists this ribosomal RNA (472 nucleotides) under uncultured bacterium. Its description in RNAcentral is "bacterial SSU rRNA". It matches the Rfam family "Bacterial small subunit ribosomal RNA", at positions 355 to 825 of the family's 1533-position model. The record is from RNAcentral.